GGGGUUGUGGCUCAGUGGUAGAGCACUCACCUAGCAUGUGCAAGCACUGGAUUCGAUCCUCAGAACCCCA
Molecule: transfer RNA, 70 nt
Filed under: Marmota monax (woodchuck)
Lineage: Eukaryota; Metazoa; Chordata; Mammalia; Rodentia; Sciuridae
Description: tRNA.Ala
Source: RNAcentral